UAUUAUUUUAUGUGUAAUAGGAUAUUUUAAGUAGUAAUAGUUAAGAUCUAUAAACUUAAAGAAUUUGGCGGUGUUUUAGUCUUUUCAGAGGAAUCUGUUCUUUAAUUGAUAAUACACGAUUGGUGAAAUUUAAUUAAAUUGUUUGUAUACCGCCGUCAUAAGAAUAUUUUUAUAAGAAUGUAAAUUUUCUUGAUUUUAAAUUAAAUAAUAUGUCAGGUCAAGGUGCAGCUUAUAAUUAAAGUUGAAAUGGAUUACAAUAAAUUUAUUUAUAUGAAUAGGUAAUUUAAAAUGUUUAAUUGAAGGUGGAUUUGAUUGUAAAAUUGUUUAAAUUAAUAUUUUGAUUAUGGCUCUAGAAUGUGUACAUAUCGCCCGUCGCUCUCAUUUUAGGUGAG
RNAcentral lists this ribosomal RNA (392 nucleotides) under Calscirtus amoa. RNAcentral's name for it is "partial 12S ribosomal RNA". The record is from RNAcentral. Lineage: Eukaryota; Metazoa; Arthropoda; Insecta; Orthoptera; Gryllidae.